This 2981-nucleotide long non-coding RNA is filed under the name Homo sapiens (human). Its description in RNAcentral is "HSALNT0373189". Lineage: Eukaryota; Metazoa; Chordata; Mammalia; Primates; Hominidae. The record is from RNAcentral.
UCCUUUUCUUUUCUUUUUUUUGAGAUGGUGUCUCUCUAUGUUGCCUAGCCUGGUCUCGAACUCCUGGGCUCAAGUGAUCCUCCUGCCUCAGCCUCCCAAAGUGCUAAGAUUACUGGUGUGAGCCACCAUGCCGGUCCAGCAAUCCAUGGUUCCAUAUAGGUGAAUAGGAAGACUUUCUUUCUUAUUAUUUAGAUAUCUUUGAAAGAUAAUCAGUAGUUUAAAGCAAAAUUAGCUCCAUACUAAAUAUUCAUACUAGCUAUUUUAAUUUUUAUAAUUAUACUAUUGAAGUGGAUACUCUUAUGCAGACUUUACAAAUGAACAAACUGAAGUUUAGAGAUUCUAAAUAUUCUAAAUAAAUAGGUCAUAUAGGCAUAUCAUUAUACUGUCUAUUGCUCAAUGCCCUUGACAGUGCACAGUUCCUUGGCUAAAAGUAUGUGGAAGCAGGGAAAAAUGAAUCCAGCAAUUACUAUAUUUAGCUGCUUUUACAAAUGCCUCUUGGUUAAAAAAAAAAAAAAAAAGACAUUCAUUGGUAGACAUUACCACAUUGCCAAGUCACUCAUAAAUCUAAGUACGAAAGUCAGUAAAAAAGGAUGAUGUUAUCUGAUUCACUGAAAGGGAAAUAAGCUGAGAUCUGCUGCGUUAGGACAAAGGCCAGCUGGGCUUUAUGAGAAUUCAGAUGGCAAGGAACAAGCUUUUUAUGGCAAUGACAGAGGGAGAAGGGAACAAUAUUAUAAGGAAGAAUCUUUGUGGUUCAAACAGAUUAUGUGGUUUAUUAUUUUCAUUUAGAUUAGGGAAAAAAUCAGUGGGCACAGAAUAAAUAGCAACUGCCUCUUUCCCCCUCCCCAGCAAGCAGAAUAUUGAUUUCCUCUUUGAGGAAAGGACACAUUAAAAAGAAUACUCUUGAGAUGAUAAAUAUGCUAAUUAAUGUGAUCUAAUCCCUAUACAUUAUGUAUAUGGAAACACCACUAUGUACCCCAUGAAUGUGUACAAUUAUUGUCAAUUUAAAAAUACAAUUUUAAAAACACUCAUUUUAUUUUUUUAAAUUAAUUGUUCUUAUUUUAAAAAUUAUUAUUUUUUAGGGAUGGGAUCUCACUGCAUUGCUCAGGCUGGUCUCAAACUCCUGGGCUCAAGCAAUCUUCCUGCCUUAGCUUCCCAAAGUUCUGGGAUUACAGGCAUGAGCCACCACUCCCAGCCAAAAAAAAAAAUACUCAUUUAAAGCUGCACAAGUUUGAUGGCACAAGUCUGUAUAACUGGACCUGUGCCUUUAUAAAACCUCAAACACUGCAAAGGUUCAUGAAACAAUGUAUAUCUAUUCUUCUUAUUCACUGUCAUCAAUGCUGACCAGGGAAAAUUGCACAGGUGCACGUGUGUGUGUGUGUGUGUAGGGCUAGUGAAGCAGGCAACUACCAGAGAUACAUUAUUAAAAAGCUAACAUUUAUUGGCCAGGCGCGGUGGCUUACGUCUGUAAUCCCAGCACUCUCACGGGUGGUGCCUCCCCGGCAAUGGGGGUCCCAAGAUCCAGGGGGGGAAAAGGGGAUGGCUCUCAGCCACCACAAAAUGGGGGGCCUUUAUGUUCAGGUUUUGCCCAAGAGUCAGCUUAUUUGCUUCUUGUACUAGCAGGGCAGUUGCUGCCAAGGCCUCAAACAGGGGAGCCAUCCUUCAGAAACCCUGUCUAGUUGUUCAGAGACGUAGGCCACCGGCCUCAGCCAGGGCCCCACAGUUUGGGUUAAAAGUCCAGCUGCCAUCUUUUCUCUCUCUAACGCAUACAAUGGAAAAGGCUUUGUCAGAUCGGGUAGCCCCAGGGCUGGGGCUGCCAGAAGUUUUUCCUUUAAGUCAUGAAAGACUUGCUGUUCUUGGAUCCCCAUUCCAAAGGUUCCGGUCCCCGCCCCCUUUGUGACCUCAUACAAAGGCUUGGCUAAUACUGCAAAGUUUGGGAUCCACAGUCUACAAAACCCCACAUCCCCUGAGAAUUCUCUCGCCUGCCUUAGGCACUUAGGCUCCGGGAGAUUGCAAAUAACCUGCUUUCUUUCUGUUCCCGGGCUGCGUUCGGACUCCUGUCAGAUAGUAAAUCCUAAGUGGCGUCGGACCCCUGUCAGAGAGUAAAUCUCAAGUAAGGUACCUGCCAUCGGCAGAUUUGAGCUUUCUUCUUGGACACCUAAUACCCACAGUCCUCCAGGCUCCGGUAGACUGCAAAUGACCUGCUUUCUUUCUGUUCCCGGGCUGCGUUUGGACCCCUGUCGGACAGUAAAUCCCAAGUAAGGAAUGGAACAGAUAAGAAGAUACUGAAAUUGGACGGUGCUGCCGUGCGGCUGCCGCAGGACACCUUUAAUAUCCCUGUUUCUCAGGCUGUAGAUGAAGGGGUUCAGCAUGGAGGUGAUCACCGUGUACAUCACUGAGGCCACUGCAGCCUUUCUCGGGGAAGAUGACACAUCUGAACUGAGGUACCCUCCAAAGCCUGUUCCGUAAAAUCAGCAAACAACUGACAGGAUAACUUCAGGAAGUGGGUAUUAAUUCUCACGGUAUAAGUGAAGACAUUAAGCACCAGAGUUUAAGUAGCUUGAUCCACUGAAAGAGAUUCAACUGUGUGGAACCUAUGCCGUGGAGAAUUGCUUUCUGCCAUUGUUAUCGUCCAGCAGUUGCCGAAUAGCUCUGACCUGAGCAAAGCAGUGAAACGCGGUGCUGUUGAGUGGGUUGCCACUGCACCUUUUUCAACUACUCUAGUCUUGUGGAGAAAAUACCCCUUCUAAAUUUUUUCUUCAUUGAAUACUCUCCCUCAGCUCCAGAGUACCAUAUAGAGUUUUCUUGUAUUUUAGAGUUACUGUUUUAUCAAAGUUUACCAGUCUUUUGUAUUACAUUUCUCCUGUCUAAAUCGACUGUGUGGUUUCUACUCAUUAUGGAUAUAGAUUGAUACAAACUCAAUAAAUAUUUUUGAAUGAAUAACUCCACAGUCCAAGUUAUUUUAAUCACUAUACAAAAUCUCC